AGAGUUUGAUCAUGGCUCAGAAUCAACGCUGGCGGCGUGCCUAACACAUGCAAGUCGAGCGAGAAAGUGGGAGCAAUCCCAUGAGUACAGCGGCGACCGGGUGAGUAACACGUGACUAACCUACCCUUGAGUGGGGAAUAACUCCGGGAAACCGGAGCUAAUACCACAUAACACCGCAAGGUCAAAGGAGCAAUUCGCUUAAGGAGGGGGUCGCGGUUGAUUAGCUAGUUGGUGGGGUAAUGGCCCACCAAGGCGAUGAUCAAUAGCCGGCCUGAGAGGGCGCACGGCCACACUGGAACUGAAACACGGUCCAGACUCCUACGGGAGGCAGCAGUGGGGAAUUUUGCGCAAUGGGGGAAACCCUGACGCAGCAACGCCGCGUGAAGGAUGAAGGUCUUUGGAUUGUAAACUUCUUUCGUGCCGGGAAGAUAAUGACGGUACCGGAAUAAGAAGCCCCGGCUAACUUCGGUGCCAGCAGCCGCGGUA
RNAcentral lists this ribosomal RNA (486 nucleotides) under uncultured Acidobacteriota bacterium. Its description in RNAcentral is "bacterial SSU rRNA". It matches the Rfam family "Bacterial small subunit ribosomal RNA", at positions 8 to 522 of the family's 1533-position model. The record is from RNAcentral. Lineage: Bacteria; Pseudomonadati; Acidobacteriota.